Molecule: long non-coding RNA, 1195 nt
Organism: Octopus bimaculoides (California two-spot octopus)
Lineage: Eukaryota; Metazoa; Mollusca; Cephalopoda; Octopoda; Octopodidae
Source: RefSeq, a predicted model, not a curated record
AAAUUUGGUGUAUGCAAUUGGGUAGUAUUUAAAUUAAAAUAAGCCAUCCAUGUAUCAGUCAUAAUGCAUAUAUACACCAAUGACAGGCAAAUUACUGAGGCUUCUGUUUCUUAUAGAGGGAGAUGAAAAAUCAAGUGAGACUGCUAGCAGCAUUUUGGCCUUUCUGGGUCUUGUCAAUGACAUGUACUUACAGCCAGCCAUAUGCCUGGAUGAGAUUUGUCACCUCCAACAUAGGAUACAAAUCUUGUCUAGGUGUGUGGCUGGCAGCAAGCACACAUGAUUAACAAGGCUCCAAGAGGCCAAAAUACACCUAUCAUUCAUGCUAGCUGCUGCUGGGACGAUUUUUCGACGCCUUCCAAUCCAUAUAGUGUGUUUUUAAUUACAGCACAUCUACAAAAACAGACAAAAACUGCAGUAAUUUGCCCGUCACUGGUGUAUUUACAUUAAGCAUGAUACUGGGAUGGGCUAUUUCGUUGAGAUGGCGUAGAUUACAGUCAUGUCGGAAUUUAUCGUGAAAAACCUUUUCAUUACCUGGAAGCUAUCAGAAGAACAGUCAGUUUCAGACUCUCUUUUAGAACCUGUAUAGUUGCAACUGCUCGGUGAUCAAAGUAAAUGGCCACCUGUUGGAACUGUUCCUCAUUGCACACUUAAUUCAUCAACAGUGUUCCAUCUCGCCUUUCCUGUAUGUGUUGCCUCUCGAGCCAUUGGUGAAGAAAUUGCAACAGUUGAGAGGGUCAUGUCAGUUUAUGUGAAUGACAGCACCGUCAUGAUGUCGAAUGCCACUAAAAUAGAGGCGGUCGGCCCCAAUCUAAAGAAAUAUGAGAUGCUACCAGAGGUUAAAAUCAAUCUGGACAAACCAAUAAGUAGCUGCUUGACAUUUGGAAAAGAAAGUUCAUGACGACAGACAUGGUGAUCUAUCUUUCUGUAUCAGAGAAAACUCUUUGCUGCCAGAAAUUCUACCAUAUUGUCUGCAAAACAGUGUCUCAAAGUCACCUUAUACUGGUGAGUCACAUAUUAUGAACACAUAUUUAAAAGGAGGAAGUAUUGUCUGGUGAUACAAAGCAACAGUGAUUAGGUGUUUAUGGUUGAAUCUGCAAGAGCAUAUUAAGAAUGAAUUUGAUUACAUUGAAAGUAAAGUUCAACCACUGGAAAGAAGCGUGUAGCUGUUUUGAAAUAAAAAUGAUUUUGAACUUGA